Molecule: long non-coding RNA, 5380 nt
Organism: Stegostoma tigrinum
Lineage: Eukaryota; Metazoa; Chordata; Chondrichthyes; Orectolobiformes; Stegostomatidae
Exons: 4
Source: RefSeq, a predicted model, not a curated record
CAUGUGCGCACGGAUCAUUUCCCUCAACAAAGAUGGUGGCAAUCAAUCAGGUCUAACCCUACAGUUCUGAGGAAUAGUCAUUAGACCCGAAACAUUAACUCUGAUUUUCCCUUCACGGAUGCUGCCAGGCCUGCUGAGCUUUUGCAGCAACUUCGGUUUUUGUUCCUGCUUUGCAGCAUCGCAGUUCUUUUGGUUUGGCGUUUCCCCGGUUGCUCUAAACGCCGGACUAGGCGCCCAAGCCUCAGCCACACCGCAGCGCGCAAAGAUGAUCAAGUGGUUUAUUCUACUUCACUCCGAUUGGUUGGUUGGAGGUCCAGCCCGGUCUUCCAACCCGCCCCGUCCUCCUAUUGGUUCUGCGCUGACAUCAAUCACUAGGACCUCAAGCGUGUCACGCGCAGUCUUCCGGUAUUUGCAGUUGUUCAUCGGCGUCAAUGCGUGUUCGUUCUGAGUUGGGAAGAAACGUGUAAUUCCUGAUUCAACGAAUGCCUUUCAGAUUCCCCAGCAUCUUCUCCUUUUGAUAGCCACGAAAGUGAUCUGACUUUCUUGAAGAUAGAGAUAUCAAGAUGUACAGCUGGAUGAACACAGCAGGCCAAGCAGCAACAAAGGAGCAGGAAAGCUGAUGUUUCAGGCCUGGACCCUCCUUCAGAAAUAAGGUUCUGGAUAUGCAAAGAGGAGGAUUUGAAGUCAGGAUACUGAAACCGAACACCAUGAUCUGAUGGCGUCACCUAAUUUAUCACAACCAGACUGUCAACAGAUUUUAAACAUAGGAAGAAAAAGCACCAUUCAUGGUGGCGAGAACAGAUACACAUGUUCUGUGCGCAUAAAAGGCUUCACAACAAUCAACUGACUGACAGAACCAUAAAUGCAGUUACAUUAGGGAGAAACCAUGGAAAUGCAGGACUAUAAGAAAUGAUUCAGUUGCCGCUCUGGGCUGAACAUUCACCAAUGUGUUCACAUUGAGAGGCCAUUCAUCUGCUCCCUUUUUGGGAGGGGAUUCACUCAGUUAUCCACCCUGUGGAAACACAAGUGAGUGCACACUGAGGAGAGACCUUUUUAAAUAUACAGACUGUGUGAAGUGCUGUAAAAAUUCUAAUGAGCUGAUAUCCCAUCAGCAUGUUCACACUGACAAGAGACUGUUCAGGUGCUCCCCGUAUGGAACUGGGUUCAACAGAUCAUCCUAACUCACUCUACACCAGUGUCUUCACAGAGAUUAUUCAUCUGUUCUGAAUGUGGGCAGGUAUUCAUUUAGUUCUCCAGCCUGUUGACGCACCAGCCAAUUCAUUCUGGGGGAGAGACAACUUAGCAACACUUAGUGUGAGAAAGGAUGUUGUGAGUCAUCCCUGCUCAUGGCACACCAGCGAGUUCACACUGAGAACAGACCUUUCAAAUGUCCAGACAGAAAGAUUUUAUAAAAGCUCCUGAGAGCUAAAGUUACACCAAUGUGUUCACACUAACAAUAGACCAUUCAGGUGCUUUCUUUGUUGGCCUAAGUUCAGAUGGUCAUCUUGUCUCACUGUAUUUCAGCACACUCACACUGGAGAGAGACUGUUCACUCCCUCCAGGUGUGCGAAGGGUUUCACUCAGAAAAUACACCUCCUGACCCACUAGUGAAUUCACCACUUUUAAAUGCACAAAAUACAGGAUGUGCUUUGCAAGAUCCUGGCAUUUGAUACACAUCAAUGUGUUCACUCUAAUGAAGGGCUUUUUAAAUGUCCAGACUGAUGGAAGUGUUUUCAAAAGCUCUGGGGAACUGAUGCUACGUCAAUGGUGUUCACACUGAUGAGAGACCAUUCAGAUGCACUCACUGUUGGAUUAGGUUCAGAUGACCAUCUCAAAUCACUGUGUACCAGUGAGUUCACACUGGAGAGAAGCCAUUCAUCUGCACUGAAUGUUGUAAAGGAUUCACUCAGAAACCCCACCUUGUGGUGCACCUUCAGAGACAGCCACGAGUCCGUAGGUGAUUUUAGGAGCUGUAAUUUGUUGUUAUUUAUAUUCAGGUCAGAGGCAUGUUAAUAUCUCCAGCCCAGGUUUAGGAUGUAAAGCUAUGGAUAAAGAUAAUUAUUUGGAUUUUGCAUUGAAUGCACAGUCUGCUGAAUCUAUUUUAACAUCCAGAACAAUUUCUUGUGAAUAUAGAUCAGAAAAACAAAUGUCCCUGUAAUACACAUACUACAGUGGUAAUGGGUAACUUCAAUUUCUGUACAGACUGUGAGAACCAAAUCAGCAUGAAUGCUGUGGAGGGUCAAUUUUUGCAGUUUGCACUGAAGCAUUUUAGAUAUCAGCUUCAGGUUGAGAAUUCUGCAAAGAGAAGGGUCAUUAAUAACCUUAUUGUUAAGGAGCCUUUGUUAAAUAGUGACCAUAAUGUGGAAUUUUAAUCAAGUUUAAAAGUGCUACAGAGACAAAAAUAGAAUAAGCAGGAAAAGCUCAGCAGGUUUGGCAGUAUCUGUGGAGAGAAAUCAGAGUUUGUGUUUCAUCUCAAGUGACCCUUUGUCAGUUCUGAGGAGUACUCCCAUCUAUUUUUGUCUCUGAUCUACAGCAUCUGCAGUUCUUUCAGCUUUGGAAGUGAUAUAGUUCGUUCUAGAAUUAUGGUCUCAUCAGAACAAUGGAAACUAUAGAAUGGCAAGUUGUCUGUGAUUGGCAAAAAACAGAAAAUGAUUUGAAAGUACACACGUAUUAGCAAAUAUGUGAAUAAGUAUUGCAUAGUUUACAACAAUUAUGCAUUUGUUGAAGAAAUAAAUAUGCAGCGAGAAAAAAAUAAAUUAGAUGUGGCUGACAGGCUACAUUAGAUCCAAGGAGGUGGUCUGUAAGAUUGCAAGAAAAAGCGAUGAACCAGGGGAUUGGGAGUAAUCUAUAAUCCAAUAAAGGAUGACCCCAAACUGAUGGAAGGGGAAAAAAGAAGAUGCAUAGAAACUCUCAACAAAUGUAAAGGUGGACUGUUAAAAUUGCCAUGGUGUUUGAAAUGCAAAAACCGGUUGGUUUGGCACCCCCAACUAUCAACUUCAACAUUCACUCCAUCAUCACUGAUGCACAGUUGCAGAAGUAUGUGCCAUCUCCAAGAUGCAUAACAAUAAUUCCUUCAAAACAACCUUCUGAUGAUUUUGAAAAUUGAGAAAUACAGUGGAUGCAUGGGAACAACACAAUGCAACUUCUCUCUCAAAGCAUAUGCAGUGUGACUUGGAACAAAAUCACCUUCUUUCAGGAUCACUGGGUCAAUAACAUGGAACUCUGUUCCAAAUAGAACUGUGGGUGCUCCGAUACCCAAGGGACAUCAAACAUUCAAGAAGGCAGCUCCCCACCACUUUCUACUGGGCAAUUAUGGUUUGGCAAUAAAUGCUAGCAGUGCCAGCAACACCCCCAUCCCGUGAAUGAAUAAAAAUUAUACGAGCAAUACUUUACUGAAAUUGAGUAUUGUAAAGAAUAUUGCUAGGAAAAUGGAUUCAAUAGCUUUUUAUGUUAAUAUCUUUCAAAAUUGUCACAUACAGAUAGAGCCUAUUUUCCCUUUACUGCAAUAAACUUCCGUUGUUUUCAUAAACAAACAUUGGCAACCUUACAUGAAUAUAUUCAGUGACGCAAUUAUCUGAACUAAAUUUCAAAAAUAAAGUGUGUGAUUUAUCAAGCCAGGUUUCACUGAGAUUUAACUUGUGCACUAUUACCAUUAUCUGGGAUAAUAUUAUUUGGAGAAUGAGCAAUGAUUUCAAUGAAACCUCAGAAAUUCUUACAGUAUGGAUGUUGAUUGGAUUUCUCUUUUUGAUGUUGAGCCUAGAACCAGGAGACAUAGUCUCUAAAUAAAGUGUAUGCCAUUUUAGACCAGAAUGAGGAGGAACUUUUCACUCAGAUGGAAUUCAUUGAAGAUUUUCAGUCAUAAAACAAUAGAUUUCUGAAGGUGAAUGACACAAUAAGAAAUGGGAAUACUGCAGGAAAGAAAUGGUCAGCUAUGAUCUAAUGGAAUGAUGGAGCAGGCUCGGGGGCAAAAGGUCCAUUCCUGUUCCACGUUGAAGAGCUUUCCCCAUCUCCUCCAUUCUCAAGACUGAAUACAAGUGUGGAUCUCAUGGACUAAGUCAUUCAGAGUGAGUGCACCUGAUCAGUUACCUCUGCCCUAUCCCUCCCUACCCCGACUUUACCACCCAAAACUGCCUCUGAAGUUCUUCUAUGAACAUCAACUCAUAUCAUUUUCCAUUUCUGUCUUAUCUAAAUACUGCCAUGUCAGUGCUCAUCUUCUGAUUGCCUGAACUUGAUUCCUAGGGUGUCCUUCAAGGAUCUAUCAAUGGUCCCUCAUAUUUUUCAUCCACUGGGCAACAUCAGCUGAAAACAGUUCCAGAUGCAGAUGGAAAAGCAAAUGAAAACCUGUGCAUCCCAGCCACUCACGAUAUCAAAUACCACCUGCCUCGCUAAUGUCAGGGAUUGUGGAACCUAUAUUGAACUAUUUAAUCACUUCAACACUAGAGUGAAAGAAAAUCAUCCUCAAUCCCCAGUGACUGUUCAAGAGAAGGAUAGGAUUAAAAAAAAACCAUCAUUGUAAGUCCAGAAAAGUCAUUCAGGUUUCAGAGGGUGUGCGUGGAGUUGCUGGGAGUAGGUCUGGAAUCACAUCUGCAGAAAAAUGAGCAAAUUCACAAGUGAAUAUAGGUGUUUGAUCAGAGUUAACCAGCAACAACAUCUAGGCUGUUAGACAGCUGUUUCCAAACUCUCAAAGAUUUCUUACGUACAUAUGGAGAAAUGUGCCCCACGAAAUGGAAUGCCUCUUUCCUGCAUCACUCCUUUAGCCUCUUGUUUACUUCUCUGCUUUUCUAGAUUGCAAUGCUAAUUUGAACACAGGGUAAGAAUGCAGAGAUUAAACCUUUGAGAUUGUGCUAUGUAAUAGUCCCCAAACAGAAUCUCUUUACUACUGUUGCCAUUGUUGUUGGUCCCCACAUGGGCAACAACAUUGGAAUCCCAACCAACCUGACUGUAACAUCCUUUCAAACUGGUUUAAGAUUUUCCUUACCUUGGAAAUAGGCAAAUGACACAUUAUGCCUCUUGACCCUGACCAUAAUCACUGGCCAAAUUUGAACAACUUAACCUGGUGUGUAUGACUCUCUCAUGGAACACAAUAUCCAGGUAACACUCCCCUUCCCUGAAGUCAUGAGCUCAGGCUCAACUCAUCACAGCACACAUUGGAUAGAGACCAUUCACCUGCUGUGUGUGUGGGAAGGGAUUCAUCAAACCUUUUAACACACCAACAGAUUCAUGUUUAGAUUUUACAGUUAUUGCUGGUGUUAAGCAGACUCAGGGUUGAUCUUCUGACGAUUGUUUCUCCUGAAGUUAACAACCCUAUAACUGGCUGGAAUUUAAUUUCUGGAGACGUGGUUGAUUUAUGAAGCUGCAAUGUCCCCUUUAAAAAGCACCA